UGGGGAAUCUUCCGCAAUGGACGAAAGUCUGACGGAGCAACGCCGCGUGAGUGAAGAAGGUUUUCGGAUCGUAAAACUCUGUCUUUUGGGGCGAACGUGAGUAUGGUGAACAAUCAUAGUCAGUGACGGUACCAAAGGAGGAAGCCACGGCUAACUACGUGCCAGCAGCCGCGGUAAUACGUAGGGUGGCAAGCGUUGUCCGGAAUUAUUGGGCGUAAAGAGCGCGUAGGCGGGAUAGUCAGUCUGUUGUAAAGUGCGGGGCUCAACCCCGUGAUGGCAAUGGAAACAGCUAUUCUUGAGUUCACGAGGAGGAAGGAAGUGGAAUUCCCAGUGUAGCGGUGAAAUGCGUAGAUAUUGGGAGGAACACCAGUGGCGAAGGCGACUUUCUGGACUGUGUCUGACGCUGAGGCGCGAAAGCCAGGGGAGCGAACGGGAUUAGAUACCCCGGUAGUCCUGGCCGUAAACGAUGGGUACUAGGUGUGGGAGGUAUCGACCCCUUCCGUGCCGGAGUUAACGCAAUAAGUACCCCGCCUGGGGAGUACGGUCGCAAGACUGAAACUCAAAUGAAUUGAC
Molecule: ribosomal RNA, 573 nt
Filed under: uncultured bacterium
Lineage: Bacteria
Description: partial 16S ribosomal RNA
Rfam family: Bacterial small subunit ribosomal RNA
Source: RNAcentral